RNAcentral lists this ribosomal RNA (253 nucleotides) under uncultured bacterium. Its description in RNAcentral is "partial 16S ribosomal RNA". It matches the Rfam family "Bacterial small subunit ribosomal RNA", at positions 524 to 776 of the family's 1533-position model. The record is from RNAcentral.
UACGAAGGGUGCAAGCGUUAAUCGGAAUUACUGGGCGUAAAGCGUGCGCAGGCGGCUUUGCAAGACAGAUGUGAAAUCCCCGGGCUUAACCUGGGAACUGCAUUUGUGACUGCAUGGCUGGAGUGCGGCAGAGGGGGAUGGAAUUCCGCGUGUAGCAGUGAAAUGCGUAGAUAUGCGGAGGAACACCGAUGGCGGAGGCAAUCCCCUGGGCCUGCACUGACGCUCAUGCACGAAAGCGUGGGGAGCAAACAGG